UUCGAAAUAUUUUUCUGCUCUGAUCACGUGACACCGGCAGAAUAAUCUUUCUCUGGAUCAGACGCCAUGUUCUUUUUAACCUCAAUCUUUAAUUUUUGGAUGGUUUGUUUUGAAAUUAUUUUGCUGUUGGUUGUCAGAUUUCGGAUUGCUACUAUUAUACUGUGAAAUUAAUUUGCAGUAGAAAAUUGAGGUAUAAAAUAUUUCCAUUGGUUUCUUUAUUCUUAUAAUUUUUACAAGAGAAAUUGAAAAUGGAUUUACAACAGAAAGGCGUGAAAUUCGUUAUAAAUUUGAUGCGACAGUUCAAAGUUUUGUACUUUCCAGACCUGCACAACGAAUUACCUAUUUGAAAAAUAGAAUAUGGUUAAAAAUUGCUGAUGUGAUAGAGGAUUCAAGUACCAUUUACAAACAAAAUAUUGAAGAGAAUGUGCUCAAAAGGAAAUUCAUAUGAAUUCUUUUUUGUUGACCAGGAUGGAAAAAGUCAUUGGAGCCCAUAGUUAGAAUAAGAAUAAGUUAGGCCUAGAGGUGUACCAGCCAGAAGUAGAGGAUGACAAAGAAAAUCAACUAUGAAUAAUAUUCCAUGGAUAUGAUUCAUGUAUGAUGUAGUAGCCUACAGAAGAAAGAGAUGGACUAAUCUAAGAAAUAUAUUCAUUUUUUCAGUAAAUCUUGAUGUGUUUAUUCCAUGUUAUUCUUAAUAAUAUCUUCUUUUUCUGAUCGCUCCUGCUAACUGCUUCAAAUCAGGUAGUUUUGAAUAAAACAGCAAGUGACAUGAAGCUAAUAAAAUGAGUUUUGAUGGUUUAUACUUGAGGGAUUUUUAAAAUUAUAUUCAACCCAACAGCAUCGAACUCUUAUUAACAA
Long non-coding RNA from Nilaparvata lugens (brown planthopper), 855 nucleotides. RefSeq lists it as uncharacterized. The transcript has 3 exons. Lineage: Eukaryota; Metazoa; Arthropoda; Insecta; Hemiptera; Delphacidae. The record is from RefSeq and is a predicted model, not a curated record.